GUUUAGGGGGUUUGGUGGCCAAGGAGAGGAGAACAGCAGAGUCUUCUACAUGCAACAGCAAUGUCCCACUGGUGUGGUGCAGCUCCACUGCAAGAGGCUGUGCUGAGUUUUCACCAAAUGUCUGGUUCAUUAGCCAAGCUCCCAGUGGCAAUUAUGAGAUUCCAGAGCAAGAUCAGCUUUUCUCUGCUGGUCCCCCUGCAGGAGCUAUCUUCUUAGACUGCUUCUUGAAUUGUCUUUUUUCUGGGGUUUGAAAGACUGCAGCUUGAGUCCAGAUACCACAUGCCGAGAAGAAAGGAACCCAAACAGCUGACGCAGAGUUCAGACUAAACUAACUGCAAGCUCCCCAGGGACAUCACAAGGUAUGGUAUUUUUGAACCGCUCACAGCAAGCUGUUGUUGUUCCUCUGUGUGUUGGUAAAUAGUAGCUGCAGACUUUCACCUUGGGAGAGGCACAGUCUGAGCAAACAGUGAACUGCGGGGAUGGACCAGGCACAGAAUUCCAGAGUAGGGUUUGGGGACAGACUGGUUCACUGGGGUUUUUCCCAGCAGGUAGCUGAAUAUGCACGGUCCAAGUAGAAUUGCUUUGCUAAGACCAGCCACCAAAGCCACAAUUCCUACUCCUUUUGCUGGAUGGAAGAGGCUCAGAAGGGUGGGAAGGAAGUCCUGAAGCAGAAAAGCUUCAUCUACUACAGAUUAGCUCUGUUGAUAUUGCAAAGGCUCUGGCUCAGUUACUGAUCACCUUACACAUCUGAAAGCCAGCAAAGAGAAACCCCUCUGCAUAUUUCUCCGCUGUUGCAGCCUCCGUCCAUCCCAGCCCAUUUCAGUUUAAGGGUAUCAGCAUUCAAAAAGGCAAUCCACAGCCUCUACCACAGUGAGCCUGGGAGUAGAAAAAUGACCAGUUCCUUCUCCAAACACCGGCUGGGAUUUCAAAGGAGCCUGAGGGGAUUGCACACGCAUCUCACUUUGAAAUUUAAGCUGUGGAUCCUGACAGAAUAGGUCGAUUCCAGAGCUUCACACCCUGAGGGGACAGCU
This is a long non-coding RNA of Neopsephotus bourkii (Bourke's parrot), 1031 nucleotides long. RefSeq lists it as uncharacterized. NCBI's taxonomy places the organism in Eukaryota, Metazoa, Chordata, Aves, Psittaciformes, Psittacidae. The record is from RefSeq and is a predicted model, not a curated record. The transcript is spliced from 6 exons.